AUACAGAGGGUGCGAGCGUUAAUCGGAAUUACUGGGCGUAAAGCGCACGUAGGCGGAUCGAUCAGUCGGAUGUGAAAGCCCUGGGCUCAACCUGGGAAUGGCAUACGAUACUGUCGAUCUCGAGUAUGGUAGAGGGUAGCGGAAUUCCCGGUGUAGCGGUGAAAUGCGUAGAUAUCGGGAGGAACAUCAGUGGCGAAGGCGGCUAUCUGGACCAAUACUGACGCUGAGGCGCGAAAGCGUGGGGAGCAAACAGGAUUAGAUACCCGAGUAGUCC
This 274-nucleotide ribosomal RNA is filed under the name uncultured bacterium. Its description in RNAcentral is "partial 16S ribosomal RNA". It matches the Rfam family "Bacterial small subunit ribosomal RNA", at positions 523 to 796 of the family's 1533-position model. The record is from RNAcentral.